AUUUAUGAUGUGGACAAUCUCUGAGAAGAGACCUGAAUCUCUCCCAUGCAUAUUAGAGAUUCUCAUCAGGCUUUUGCUUGAAAUUCAGGAUCUCACUCCCCAACCU
Non-coding RNA from Capsicum annuum, 106 nucleotides. The record is from Rfam. NCBI's taxonomy places the organism in Eukaryota, Viridiplantae, Streptophyta, Magnoliopsida, Solanales, Solanaceae.